UGGGGAAUAUUGGACAAUGGGCGCAAGCCUGAUCCAGCCAUGCCGCGUGAGUGAUGAAGGCCUUAGGGUUGUAAAGCUCUUUUACCAGGGAUGAUAAUGACAGUACCUGGAGAAUAAGCUCCGGCUAACUCCGUGCCAGCAGCCGCGGUAAUACGGAGGGAGCUAGCGUUGUUCGGAAUUACUGGGCGUAAAGCGUACGUAGGCGGUGACUCAAGUCAGAGGUGAAAGCCUGGAGCUCAACUCCAGAACUGCCUUUGAAACUAGGUCGCUAGAAUCACGGAGAGGUGAGUGGAAUUCCGAGUGUAGAGGUGAAAUUCGUAGAUAUUCGGAAGAACACCAGUGGCGAAGGCGGCUCACUGGACGUGUAUUGACGCUGAGGUACGAAAGCGUGGGGAGCAAACAGGAUUAGAUACCCACGUAGUCCCUGAGCGGGCUGGCAAGGCGCAU
This 447-nucleotide ribosomal RNA is filed under the name uncultured bacterium. RNAcentral describes it as "bacterial SSU rRNA". It matches the Rfam family "Bacterial small subunit ribosomal RNA", at positions 355 to 825 of the family's 1533-position model. The record is from RNAcentral.